This is a long non-coding RNA of Phacochoerus africanus (Common warthog), 511 nucleotides long. RefSeq lists it as uncharacterized. The record is from RefSeq and is a predicted model, not a curated record. The transcript has 2 exons. NCBI's taxonomy places the organism in Eukaryota, Metazoa, Chordata, Mammalia, Artiodactyla, Suidae.
CUUUGCUAAUAAUAGGAGGGGAAAUUUGGGACCCGAACUCACCAGUGACGUCGCCUCACGUGACCAGGAGCUGGUGUGUUGAAGCCUCGGUCCAGAUAGCGGUUCUUGCUCAGGUAACCAGCUCCGGAUUGCCUUGGAGUGGCGUGACUGUGGGCAAAGAAGAAGGAGGACGAAGAGGAAACCCUUACCGAUUCCUGUCGGUCACGAUACAGCUUGCAGUUUCAGACUCCGCAUCUGACCGGUUCUCACUAGCCUUUGAGAGAAAGGAGACCCCUGAGAUACUCGCUCCUGCUGCGACAUGGGCCGUGCUCAGAAUUUGGGCUUGAUGGCUACGGGCCUGGUGGUCGGGGCUGGCUCCUGGUACUACAUAUACCGACUGACGUUUGGUGGAGAGCAGAACAAGAAGAGACCAGCUGAUUCGAAAGACAUUAAUCCUGCCUACAAAAAGUUUAGAAAAUACAGGAAACUGUAAGGAAGAAAAUAAGAAAUAAACCACAGAUAAUUAACUAAG